UAAGAUCCGAUUGCGGUUUAAGUU
RNAcentral lists this non-coding RNA (24 nucleotides) under Arabidopsis thaliana (thale cress). Lineage: Eukaryota; Viridiplantae; Streptophyta; Magnoliopsida; Brassicales; Brassicaceae. The record is from RNAcentral.